AGGACGAACGCUGGCGGCGUGCUUAACACAUGCAAGUCGAACGCGCUCCAUUCGGUAGCAAUACUGAUGAAGAGUGAGUGGCGAACGGGUGAGUACCACGUGAGCAACCUGCCCCGAAGACUGGGACAACACCGGGAAACCGGUGCUAAUACCGGAUACCCUUGUCAGAUCGCAUGAUCCGACAAGGAAAUGAGUUUUGCUUCGGGAGGGGCUCGCGGCCUAUCAGCUUGUUGGUGGGGUAACGGCCUACCAAGGCAUCGACGGGUAGCUGGUCUGAGAGGACGAUCAGCCACACUGGGACUGAGACACGGCCCAGACUCCUACGGGAGGCAGCAGUGGGGAAUCUUGCGCAAUGGGCGAAAGCCUGACGCAGCAACGCCGCGUGGAGGACGAAGGCUUUCUGAGUUGUAAACUCCUUUCAGCAGGGACGAUAGUGACGGUACUGCAGAAGAGCACCGGCCACUACGCGCCAGCAGCCGA
This 480-nucleotide ribosomal RNA is filed under the name uncultured bacterium. RNAcentral's name for it is "SSU rRNA". It matches the Rfam family "Bacterial small subunit ribosomal RNA", at positions 26 to 518 of the family's 1533-position model. The record is from RNAcentral.